UGAGCAAUUUCCUCAGUGCGUGUAUGUGC
RNAcentral lists this non-coding RNA (29 nucleotides) under Mus musculus (house mouse). Lineage: Eukaryota; Metazoa; Chordata; Mammalia; Rodentia; Muridae. The record is from RNAcentral.